AAAGCUGUACCGUGGCGAGGAGGACGAUGACGAGUGAGUCCGCCAUAGCAUAAUAACACUUCUCAGCAUCACCAGGAGUAUCUAGAAGUAUAUUUUAUCUAAACUUGUACUUACUACUAAAUCAGUGCAUCAGUGCAGGGCACUUAUUUUCGGACCAAGGUAGUAGUAGUGUUGAAGGGGAGAAUAGAGAAGGAUAGGUAGAAUAGUUGUUGACUUCUUGUAUUGCUUGAGCCUCGUGGGCAUAUAUAUAUAUAGGAGUACAUGAUCAUCUUAAAGUACAAAGGCAGGAACAAAUCCUAGUCUAUCUAUGCUUUCCUAAACAAUCACGUUACUCAACAUCUCCCCGCACUCACAACGGUAACGACGCAGACAGUGAGACUGAAGAAGAAUCCGAAGGUAAGCCGACGGUCAUCCCCACACAGUCGUAACAGUCGAUGCAUCGUGGAAGUUGUGGCUGGAGUGGAAACCGACGAAGUUGCUCAAGCAAGACGGUAGCCUUCGUGCGUUGGUCCAGCUGGUAGCCGAGAGCGUAGGGUGGUGUAGCCGUGGUCGAGGUAGCUGUGCGGAGAACGCCGUGGUCGAUGUCGAGUCGGGGUAGCCGGUGUCGAGGAAGUCGCCGCGGGCGCAAGGAGGCGCCGAGUUAGUCAUGGACCCAGUGGUGUCGAAGUAGUGGUGCGCCAGGAAGAAGACGUAGUUGAGACGCGUCGCGCUGAGUUUUGCCAAGCCCUCCCUCCUGCGCCUUGGGCCUCUCGUGGGAGGCGCACCAGCCCACUUUGGGCUGGUUGCCAUCCCCCUUUUGGCCCAUGGUACCUCUUGGGCCUGGUGGCCCCUCCCGGUGGACCCCCGAGAUCAUUUUCGGUGGUCUCGGUGGUCCCGGUACGCUACCGGUGACGCCCGAAACAUUUCCAGUGUCCAAAACCAUCCAUCCUAUAUAUCAAUCUUUACCUUCGGACCAUUCCGGAGCUCCUCGUGACGUCCGGGAUCUCAUCCGAGACUCCGAACAACUUUCGGUAACCUCGUAUAACAUUUCCCUAUAACCCUAGCGUCAUCGAACCUUAAGUGUGUAGACCCUACGGGUUCGGGAAGCAUGCAGACAUGACCGAGACGCUCUCCGGCCAAUAACCAUCAGCGGUAUCUGGAUACCCAUGGUGGCUCCCACGCGUUCCAUGAUGAUCUCAUCGGAUGAACCACGAUGUCAAGGAUUCAAUCAAUCCCGUAUAUAAUUCCCUUUGUCUGUCGGUAUAGAACUUGCCCGAGAUUCGAUCGUCGGUAUACCUAUACCUUGUUCAAUCUCGUUACCGGUAAGUCUCUUUACUCGUUCCGUAGCACGUCAUCAUGUGACUAACUCCUUAGUCACAUUGAGCUCAUGAUAAUGUUCUACCGAGUGGGCCUAGAGAUACCUCUCCGUCACACGGAGUGACAAAUCUCGAUCUCGAUUCGUACCAACCCAACAAACACUUUCAGAGGUACCUGUAGUGCACCUUUAUAGUCAUCCAGUUACGUUGUGACGUUUGAUACACCCAAAGCACUCCUACGGUAUCCGGGAGUUGCACAAUCGCACGGUCGAAGGAAAAGACACUUGACAUUAGAAAAGCUUUAGCAUACGAACAAUACGAUCUAGUGCUAUGCUUAGGAUUGAGUCUUGUCCAUCACAUCAUUCUCCCAAUGAUGUGAUCCCGUUAUCAAUGACAUCUAAUGCCCAUGAUCAAGAAACCAUGAUCAUCUAUUGAUCAAUGAGAUAGCCAACUAGAGGCUUGCUAGGGACACAUUGUGAUCUAUUUAUUCACACAUGUAUUACUGUUUACCUGUUAAUACAAUUAUAGCAUGAACAAUAGACGAUUAUCAUGAACAAGGAAAUAUGAUAAUAACCAUUUUAUUAUUGCCUCUAGGACAUAUUUCCAACAAUCUCCCACUUGCACUAGAGUCAAUAAUCUAGUUACAUUAUGAUGUAUAAUGUAUCGAACACCCAUUGCAUUAUGGUGUUGAUCGUGUUUUGCUCGAGGAAGAGGUUUAGUCAACGGGCCUGCAACAUUCAGAUCCGUGUGUACUUUACAAAUAUCUAUUACUCCACUCUGGACAUGGUCGUGGAUGGAGUUGUAGCGGCGCUUGAUGUGCUUGGUCUUCCGGUGAAACCUGGGCUCCUUGGCUAUGGCAAUGGCCCCAGUGUUAUCACAGAAGAGCGUCAUUGGACUCGACGCGUUUGGAACCACUCCAAGGUCGGUGAUGAGCUCCUUCAUCCAAGGCCACGGGGGAAAUCCUUUGCAUAUUUGCCUAGGAAGUCCCUUAAGGCGUAGCCGUAGCAGAAGGAUUCCUGGUGCCGUUGCUGAGGAGUAUCAAGCAACACUCCUAUUUCUGACGCCGUUGGAAGGUCUUUUGUUGCAGUAGCACCGGCGGAGAUCGACGGGCGUGUCGGCUUGUGACCGGCGGCAUUGAGUGGCCGCCGGGUUUGCGCGGGGAUGCCCGGUUGAAGGAGAAGUCGGGCUGCGCCGAUGUUGGAGUAGAUUCGUGGUGGUCGACGGCGGCGGCGGACGACGCAAACCGAUCUUAGAUCGAAAAACCAAAAAGAAAGAGCGCGAUCAAAAGACCGACAUGAGAGAGAAGACCCGGAUCAAGAGAUCGAGAAAAAAGACUCUCUAGGACACCCGGUCAACAGCACCGAUGGACGAACCCUAGGUACGGCGACGUGGCCCCCGACGGCGGUCAUGGAGGCCAACCGCACCGAGGGCGGCGCGCGGGGCGAAAGCGGUGGCGGCGGCUAGGUCAAGAAACUUGCGGCACAUACCAUGUUGAAGGGGGGAAUAGAGAAGGAUAGGUAGAAUAGUUG
This 2824-nucleotide long non-coding RNA is filed under the name Hordeum vulgare. Its description in RNAcentral is "long non-coding RNA (HVUL_LNC011233)". Lineage: Eukaryota; Viridiplantae; Streptophyta; Magnoliopsida; Poales; Poaceae. The record is from RNAcentral.